GGGCUAUUAGCGCAGGCAGGUAGCGCAGCAGGCUUUUAACAGGUAGGUCAGGGGUUCAAUUCCCCUAUAGCCCG
RNAcentral lists this transfer RNA (74 nucleotides) under Promethearchaeota archaeon. Its description in RNAcentral is "Candidatus Lokiarchaeota archaeon tRNA-Lys". It matches the Rfam family "tRNA". From Rfam's summary of the family: Transfer RNA (tRNA) molecules are approximately 80 nucleotides in length. Their secondary structure includes four short double-helical elements and three loops (D, anti-codon, and T loops). The record is from RNAcentral. Lineage: Archaea; Promethearchaeati; Promethearchaeota.